Molecule: long non-coding RNA, 579 nt
Organism: Dreissena polymorpha
Lineage: Eukaryota; Metazoa; Mollusca; Bivalvia; Myida; Dreissenidae
Exons: 3
Source: RefSeq, a predicted model, not a curated record
AAUCCCAAGCUUGGUCUGAGUGUGACUGGUCCACAAAUGCAAUCCAAGCUAGGUCUGAGCGGGACUGGUCCACAAAUGUAAUCCAAGCUAGUAAUGAGUGUCAGCACUUGCCCACAAAUGCAAUCCAAGCUAGGUCUGAGUGUGACUGGUCCACAAAUGUAAUCCAAGCUAGUAAUGAGUGUCAGCACUUGCCCACAAAUGCAAUCCAAGCUAGGUAUGAGUGUCAGCACUGGCCCACAAAUGCAAUCCCAAGCUUGGUCUGAGUGUGACUGGUCCAUAGAUGCAAUCCAAGCUAGGUCUGAGUGUCAGCACUGGCCCACAAAUGCAAUCCCAAGCUUGGUCUGAGUGUGACUGGUCCACAAAAGUAAUCCAAGCUAGGUCUGAGUGUGACUGGUCCACAAAUGUAAUCCAAGCUAGUAAUGAGUGUCAGCACUUGCCCACAAAUGCAAUCCAAGCUAGGUAUGAGUGUGACUGGUUCACAAAUGUAAUCCAAGCUAGGUCUGAGUGUGACUGGUCCACAUAUGUAAUCCAAGCUAGUAAUGAUCGAGUGUCAGCACUUGCCCACAAAUGCAAUCCAAG